AGUGAACGCUGGCGGUAGGCCUAACACAUGCCAGUCGAACGGCAGCACAGUAAGAGCUUGCUCUUACGGGUGGCGAGUGGCGGACGGGUGAGGAAUACAUCGGAAUCUACUUUUUCGUGGGGGAUAACGUAGGGAAACUUACGCUAAUACCGCAUACGACCUACGGGUGAAAGCAGGGGAUCUUCGGACCUUGCGCGAUUGAAUGAGCCGAUGUCGGAUUAGCUAGUUGGCGGGGUAAAGGCCCACCAAGGCGACGAUCCGUAGCUGGUCUGAUAGGAUGAUCAGCCACACGGGAACUGAGACACGGCCCAGACUCCUACGGGAGGCAGCAGUGGGGAAUUUUGGACAAUGGGGGCAAGCCUGACCCAGCCAUCCCGCGUGGGUGAAGAAGGCCUUCGGGUUGUAAAGCCCUUUUGUGGGGAAAGAAAAGCAGAGGGCUAACACCGCCCUUUAAGGACGGUACCUAAAGAAGAAGCACCGGCUAACUUCGUG
This 492-nucleotide ribosomal RNA is filed under the name uncultured bacterium. RNAcentral's name for it is "partial 16S ribosomal RNA". It matches the Rfam family "Bacterial small subunit ribosomal RNA", at positions 29 to 507 of the family's 1533-position model. The record is from RNAcentral.